This 252-nucleotide ribosomal RNA is filed under the name uncultured bacterium. Its description in RNAcentral is "partial 16S ribosomal RNA". It matches the Rfam family "Bacterial small subunit ribosomal RNA", at positions 524 to 776 of the family's 1533-position model. The record is from RNAcentral.
UACGGAGGAUGCGAGCGUUAUCCGGAUUUAUUGGGUUUAAAGGGUGCGUAGGCGGACUGUCAAGUCAGCGGUAAAAUACGGGGGCUCAACCUCCGCCCGCCGUUGAGACUGACGGUCUUGAGUGGGCGAGAAGUAUGUGGAAUGCGUGGUGUAGCGGUGAAAUGCAUAGAUAUCACGCAGAACUCCGAUUGCGAAGGCAGCAUACCGGCGCCCAACUGACGCUGAAGCACGAAAGCGUGGGUAUCGAACAGG